UGGGGAAUAUUGCGCAAUGGGGGAAACCCUGACGCAGCAACGCCGCGUGAAGGAUGAAGGUUUUCGGAUUGUAAACUUCUUUGACACAGGACGAUAAUGACGGUACUGUGAAAACAAGCCACGGCUAACUACGUGCCAGCAGCCGCGGUAAUACGUAGGUGGCGAGCGUUGUCCGGAUUUACUGGGUGUAAAGGGCGAGUAGGCGGGGAGAAAAGUCAGUAGUGAAAUACCACGGCUCAACUGUGGGGCUGCUAUUGAAACUUUCUUUCUUGAGUGAUGGAGAGGCAGGCGGAAUUCCCGGUGUAGCGGUGAAAUGCGUAGAGAUCGGGAGGAACACCAGUGGCGAAGGCGGCCUGCUGGACGUUAACUGACGCUGAGGCGCG
Molecule: ribosomal RNA, 383 nt
Filed under: uncultured Clostridium sp.
Lineage: Bacteria; Bacillati; Bacillota; Clostridia; Eubacteriales; Clostridiaceae
Description: bacterial SSU rRNA
Rfam family: Bacterial small subunit ribosomal RNA
Source: RNAcentral